CCUUACACAUGCAAGUCGAACGGCAGGCACGGGAGCAAUCCUGGUGGCGAAUGGCGAACGGGUGAGUAAUAUAUCGGAACGUGCCCAGUCGUGGGGGAUAACGUAGCGAAAGCUACGCUAAUACCGCAUACGAUCUACGGAUGAAAGCGGGGGAUCGCAAGACCUCGCGCGAUUGGAGCGGCCGAUAUCAGAUUAGGUAGUUGGUGAGGUAAAGGCUCACCAAGCCGACGAUCUGUAGCUGGUCUGAGAGGACGACCAGCCACACUGGGACUGAGACACGGCCCAGACUCCUACGGGAGGCAGCAGUGGGGAAUUUUGGACAAUGGGCGCAAGCCUGAUCCAGUAAUGCCGCGUGCAGGAUGAAGGCCUUCGGGUUGUAAACUGCUUUUGUACGGAACGAAACGGUGAGCUCUAAUACAGUUUGCUAAUGACGGUACCGUAAGAAUAAGCACCGGCUAACUACGUG
RNAcentral lists this ribosomal RNA (466 nucleotides) under uncultured bacterium. RNAcentral describes it as "bacterial SSU rRNA". It matches the Rfam family "Bacterial small subunit ribosomal RNA", at positions 47 to 507 of the family's 1533-position model. The record is from RNAcentral.